UACGUAGGGUGCAAGCGUUGUCCGGAAUUAUUGGGCGUAAAGAGCUCGUAGGCGGUUUGUCGCGUCUGCUGUGAAAACUCGGGGCUUAACUCCGGGCCUGCAGUGGGUACGGGCAGACUAGAGUGCGGUAGGGGAGACUGGAAUUCCUGGUGUAGCGGUGAAAUGCGUAGAUAUCGAGAGGAACACCUGCGGCGAAGGCGGGUUGCUGGGCUGACACUGACGCUGAUGCGCGAAAGCUAGGGGAGCGAACGGG
Molecule: ribosomal RNA, 253 nt
Filed under: uncultured bacterium
Lineage: Bacteria
Description: partial 16S ribosomal RNA
Rfam family: Bacterial small subunit ribosomal RNA
Source: RNAcentral